This is a long non-coding RNA of Balaenoptera ricei (Rice's whale), 1344 nucleotides long. RefSeq lists it as uncharacterized. The record is from RefSeq and is a predicted model, not a curated record. NCBI's taxonomy places the organism in Eukaryota, Metazoa, Chordata, Mammalia, Artiodactyla, Balaenopteridae. The transcript has 4 exons.
UCUGCCAGCUGUUCAUGGAGGGGCUCUGGGCCAUGUUUGGAUCAUUGAGGAAGGGCAAGGAGCCUGAGUAGCACCCAUUGCAUCCGGUGAAAACUUAUUGCAACUCCUCGUGUGAUGGAUUGCGGCCUGGCUGUCCUCUCCACCAGGAGCUUCGUGAGAGCAGGAAACUUGACUGCCUUCCGCACUGCUGAAUCCCCAGUGGCCUGUGCAGUUCUGUCCAAUGCAUAUUUGUUAAACGAAUAACAAAGUAAAAGGUCUUUCCUGGAAUGCCAACAAGCUUCCUAGGGAGACACAGACUGACAUAGCAAACUAUUCAGAACAACGCAGGGUAAGUUGUGUCUAGCCAUCUCCAGAGAGCGUGGCCCUCACCCUUGGGGCUUUAGGAAUUCAGAGAAAGGAAGAAAGGGUAUUAGCUACUUUGUGAAGACUCUGCUUGAGACCACGCAUUCCAGAGAGAAGGAAGAGAGCAGGAAAAGUAACAUUGGUCGUGUGUCUACAGCAUGCCAGAAACCUACCCUACGACAUCUUUUUACAUCUUCACAGUUAUCUAGUUUUACAAAGGAGGAAACUGAGACCCAGAGAAGGUACACGUGGGUUCUGAGAGGUCCAACAACAAACAGGGCAGUUGGGCCCACCCAGAGCAGCUGCAGCCCUUGGAGGUGGCCUGAAAUUGGACAAGGCCUGGAAUGAGGGUCUGGGCACCGCUCCCAGCAUCUGACCUUGGAUGGAGACAGCAGAGCUGUGGUUUGGGAGAUUUUCCUUCCUCAGCUAGGGCCCACUGGAGCCUGUUGUAAGGAUCCAGGGCUGCGGAGAGACGGAUGCACAGACAGGCAGACGGAUGUCCCAUGGGAGAGGCUGCCAGGUCUCGGCAGCUGCCGCUGGAGACGGGUCACAGAAACCUCCGGAGGCCACCCCCUCCAGGGAGAUGGAUAAUGUUGGGAUUGGUGGGUCUGCCUCCUGGGAUGACGGCUGAAUGCUUUCUGCAUUCCGAAGCUCGUCACCUCCCCUCCCCAGCCCAGUUCUACCAGUGUGCGGUCCUCUGGGCCUGCCCUUCUCUGCCCUCCCAGUUAUCCGCUGCCCCCUCCCCUCCCACCUCCUCCAUGCUCCCUGCACUUCCUCUUUUCCUGGGUGUUAGCAGUGCAGUGCUUUACCGUUCACAAAGCACAUUUAUACACACUAGAUCAUUUGAUCCUUAGAAGAACCCUAUGCAGGAAGGGACGGAGGAACGGAGGAAGAAGAAGCUUCUGGAAAGAAGAGGUUUAAGGCUAUUAGAUGGCAUGCUCACACGGAUGUUCCAGUUGCCUCAGAUGUUGGCAGGAGUGGAGACGGAGAAGAUGUCAGGGA